UAAUAAAGUGUUUUAUGGCACUUUUUAAAUCCAUAUCCACCUUGUGUGCAAUGUCAGUCGAUCUUCUUCAUGGAGAUCGACCAAACAUCAAACCUUUAUCUUUUAACUCUUGUCUGAAAAAUAUUAUGAAUAAACAAUUCAAAAUA
Molecule: unclassified non-coding RNA, 146 nt
Filed under: soil metagenome
Description: partial internal transcribed spacer 1
Source: RNAcentral